UACAGAGGUCCCAAGCGUUGUUCGGAUUCACUGGGCGUAAAGGGUGCGUAGGUGGUGAGGUAAGUCGGAUGUGAAAUCUCCGAGCUCAACUCGGAAAUGGCAUUGGAAACUACCUUGCUCGAGGGUUGGAGGGGGGACUGGAAUGCUUGGUGUAGCAGUGAAAUGCGUAGAUAUCAAGCGGAACACCAGUGGCGAAGGCGAGUCCCUGGACAACUCCUGACACUGAGGUGCGAAAGCGUGGGGAGCAAACAGG
This 253-nucleotide ribosomal RNA is filed under the name uncultured bacterium. RNAcentral describes it as "partial 16S ribosomal RNA". It matches the Rfam family "Bacterial small subunit ribosomal RNA", at positions 524 to 776 of the family's 1533-position model. The record is from RNAcentral.